Molecule: long non-coding RNA, 466 nt
Organism: Paramisgurnus dabryanus
Lineage: Eukaryota; Metazoa; Chordata; Actinopteri; Cypriniformes; Cobitidae
Source: RefSeq, a predicted model, not a curated record
CGCUUAUUACAUACUGUUUUAGUAAGCGCUGUCAGCAGCAUGUCAUUUUACACUCGCUGCUUGCAAGAGCUUCCCCGGAUUACGGUGAACGACGUCAACCGAAUUGUGAGGUUGGCAUCUGUCACUCCUUCCAGUAAAAAGGAGAAAGGAUUUAAAUUGUACAUUUCGAGUUACAUCGACAACUUUGAGGAUUGUGUUAAAGGACUCCAGCCCUGUCAUAUUGUCCCAGUGCAGCUGUUCUUGUGUUGCUGGCACUGCACUGUGUAAUCACAUAGUUGCACUACUGUACCAGGCAGCACAUUUCUCUCAGCUUGGCAUCAGUGCAGUUCCUCCAGUGAGCAGCUGUACUGAAACGGAGCAGAGCUGGCACAAACCAAGAACAAUGGGAGUCCGGCCAGGUCCUGUCACUGGGAUGGUGGUUUUAUCUGCAAGACCUAAAGAGAGGAAACUUGCUGCUGGUCUAAGG